UACGGAGGGGGCUAGCGUUGUUCGGAAUUACUGGGCGUAAAGCGCGCGUAGGCGGAUCUGCAAGUCGGGGGUGAAAUCCCGAGGCUCAACCUCGGAACUGCCUUCGAUACUGCGGGUCUCGAGUCCGGGAGAGGUGAGUGGAAUUCCUAGUGUAGAGGUGAAAUUCGUAGAUAUUAGGAAGAACACCAGUGGCGAAGGCGACAUCCUGGACCGGUAUUGACGCUGAGGCGCGAAAGCCAGGGGAGCAAACGGG
RNAcentral lists this ribosomal RNA (253 nucleotides) under uncultured bacterium. RNAcentral's name for it is "partial 16S ribosomal RNA". It matches the Rfam family "Bacterial small subunit ribosomal RNA", at positions 524 to 776 of the family's 1533-position model. The record is from RNAcentral.